GGGCCCGCACAAGCGGUGGAGCAUGUGGUUUAAUUCGAUGAUACGCGAGGAACCUUACCAGGGCUUAAAUGCAGAACGACCGGCGUGGAAACAUGCCUUUCUUCGGACGGACUGCAAGGUGCUGCAUGGUCGUCGUCAGCUCGUGCCGUGAGGUGUCGGGUUAAGUCCCAUAACGAGCGCAACCCCUAUCUUUAGUUGCCAGCGGAUAAUGCCGGGACUCUAGAGAAACUGCCAGCGUAAAGCUGUGAGGAAGGUGGGGAUGACGUCAGAUCAUCACGGCCCUUACGUCCUGGGCUACACACGUGCUACAAUGGCAAGGACAAUGAGCUGCCAACCGCGAGGGUGAGC
Molecule: ribosomal RNA, 348 nt
Filed under: uncultured bacterium
Lineage: Bacteria
Description: bacterial SSU rRNA
Rfam family: Bacterial small subunit ribosomal RNA
Source: RNAcentral